Molecule: ribosomal RNA, 1314 nt
Filed under: Thanmoia reticulipennis
Lineage: Eukaryota; Metazoa; Arthropoda; Insecta; Orthoptera; Acrididae
Description: Paratoacris reticulipennis 16S ribosomal RNA
Rfam family: Archaeal large subunit ribosomal RNA (bases 881-1234)
Source: RNAcentral
AUAAUUAGUAUAUUAUAUUGUUUUAUUGUUAAUUUAUUUUUUAAUAAAAAUAAUUUUGUUGUUUUGUUGUUUUAGUAUAUUUUAUAGAAUUAAUUAUUUAAGUUAUAGUAAAAUAGUAAUGUAAUUGGUUUAUGAAAUAUCUUUUAUUUUGUGGAAAGUAAAUUUAGUUUAUUGUACCUUUUGUAUCAGGGUUAAUUAAAAUUUAAUUAUAUAUUUAAUUAUCUCGAUUUAGAUUGAUUUAUAAUAAAUUUUUUUUUAAUGUUUUAUAAUUAUUUAAAAAUUUAUUAUGGAAAUGAAAUGUUAAUCGUUUUCUAAGAUAUCUAGUUUCUUAAGAAAAAUUUUAAUUUUUAAAAGUUAAUUUGUUUUUACUUAAUUAUAUAGGUUUAAAUAUUAAUUUAUUAUUUUUUAGGGGAUAAGCUCUAAAAUUAAUAUCCUAUAAUUAUUAGUUUAUAAAAUUUAAUAAUAAGCUUUAAACCAGCUAUUUUUAUGAUUACGUUUUAGUUCAUUAUUUUUAUUUUUGAUUUUAUAAUUAUUUUAGGUUUAUUAUUAGGAUAAAAAAUAUAAUUUGUUUAUUUUUAUAAUAAUGAUUAAAUUAGUAUAAUUGUUAGUUUAUAAUAUUUUUUAUAAAAAUUUAUUAUAAGGAACUAGGCAAAUUAAAUUUCCGCCUGUUUAUCAAAAACAUGUCCUCUUGAUAAAUAUUUUGAGGUCUAGUCUGCUCACUGAUAAUUUUAAAUAGCCGCGGUAUUUUGACCGUGCAAAGGUAGCAUAAUCAUUAGUCUUUUAAUUGAAGGCUGGUAUGAAUGGCUUGACGAGAAAUUAACUGUCUCUUAAUAAAGUUUAGAAUUUAACUUUUAAGUUAAAAGGCUUAAAUUAAUUUUUAGGACGAGAAGACCCUAUAGAGCUUUACAUUUAUAUUAUAUUUGGUUUUUAGUUAAUUUUUUCAUAUUUAUUGAUAAUGUUUUGUUGGGGUGACAUGAAGAAUAAACAAACUUUUCAUUUUUAAAUCAUUGAUUUAUGUAUAUUAUGAUCCAUAAUUUAUGAUCAUAAGAUUAAGUUACCUUAGGGAUAACAGCGUAAUUAUUUUUGAAAGCUCAUAUUGACAAAAUAGAUUGCGACCUCGAUGUUGGAUUAAGAAUAGUUACGGGUGCAGUAGCCCGUUAAUUAGGUCUGUUCGACCUUUAAAUUCUUACAUGAUCUGAGUUCAGACCGGCGUAAGCCAGGUCGGUUUCUAUCCUAAAAUAUAUAUUAAUUUAUAUUAGUACGAAAGGACCAUAUAAAUGGAAUAAUUUUUUUAUAUUGUUUAACAUUAAAAUU